This 2579-nucleotide long non-coding RNA is filed under the name Zea mays. RNAcentral describes it as "long non-coding RNA (ZMAY_LNC005667)". Lineage: Eukaryota; Viridiplantae; Streptophyta; Magnoliopsida; Poales; Poaceae. The record is from RNAcentral.
AAAGACCUCAGACGACCAUGCAUGUGCACCAGAUAACUUAACAGGAACCGUCCGAUUGCCCCAAGGACAUCGGAUAAACCACUUACAACCAGAACCGCGGGAUUAAGUAACACAAAUCACACACCAACAUUUUUGCAGCGGAAAUCUUAUUACCAAAUUUUACAGGUUACAAAAAUUUUACAUUAUUUUAUCGGAGUGUCUAGAAAACUAUAGGUUUGAAAUAUAUGCUAGCUCAAGUGAUCAUCCUCAAUAAGAAGUAUAGAAGAGUUACUUAGACUUAUAAGAAGGCCGAGCCCACCGGCACUUAACACCAUCAUCAGCAGUACAAAGAUAUAACCUGAAAAACAAUAGGGAAUAAAACCCUGAGUAUGGAAUUACUCAGCAAGACUUACCCGACUAAAGAAAAGACUCUCAAGGGUAUGCUGGAUUUGGGAAUCAAGGAGAGGCUUUAGCAAGAAUCAACUUAGAUACUUUUGCAGAAAUAGCUUACUAAAGUGAGUCCUUACUUUCAAUAUUUUAACGCCGGAUUAAAUAUUAAUAGACUCUGUUUGCAUCUGGUCUAAUUUCACCAUCUCAUCAAUACAACAUCAUUUUUAUUCAUAAGGUUCACAUCCUGACUUAGGUUGCAGGGCAGCGAUCAAGUCUCCACUCUCCGGGGAUAUAACGGCGAUCCGAAUCGAUUUACUCAGCUGAGGAUCUCUAACCACACGACAUAUGUAGCACUUAACCCUUGCAUAUGUCAACCAUUCCCACGGAUCCUCCACUACAUGAACAGGUCCACACCACCCGAGAGCACACCACCCCUUUUAGGCGGUCCUUUGCCAGGAGGGUACGUGCCACUCUCGCCAUCUCUCCACUCCCAGUGCGCGAUUGUCUUUUCAUGUAUGGAAUAGCCGGGUUCAAGCUUACCCUGUCCCAUAUCCAGGGCAUGUGGCCAGAUAAGAUAGUCCUUGAUCAUACAGGCCUACAUACGCAUCCAAUCCUUAAUUGACCCAGACGGAACAUCACCUGUUCCUAGCCCAAGUCCCGAUUUAAGUACUUCCAUCCUUAGGAUUGUUUAUGUUCCUAGGAUGAAAAGAGCAUUAUAGGGAACUUUGCAGUAAGAUCCCACCAUGCUCCCAAUGAAAAUAUUCUUGCAGGUAGAAGCCGUCCUUCCUCAGGAUAACCCCUGAGCUAGGCAUUAACGCAAAGGACAACCUCUAUCCACAAGAUCUAAGCAGUGCUAAGCAUUUUUGUAAAUCAUAUUUUGAUACUUCACCAGAAGUAUCUAUAAAGGUAUGGAUAUCAAAGAAGGCAAUGCAUCAAAGGGUUCCAAGCAACUCCUAUAAACCUAAUGCACAUUUCACUAGACUUAAAGUGUGUAAAAUAUAUUUAAAAACACAAGGAAGGGGUUGCAUGCACCGGGGCUUGCCUGGGUAACACUAGGUUAGUGUUGUUAGAUGACGUCCACUUGACGACCAUCCUUGUUCUGAUACUUGUUUCGUCCAUCCAUCUUUAGAUUAGUUCAUCAGGUUUAUCCUGAGGAUUAGCCCGCGCUUGGGGUCGACUUGGCUUUAGUUCUUCGCAUCACGUGGUCAAUUAUCGCACCUAAAUGAUUUGCAUAAUGCACAUGAAUGCAUAGCACUGACUUCAUUCCACAACUAAAAUUCCUCGCAUAAAAUGUCGAUAGCGCCUACCGGCAAAGCACUAAAAUUACUAAACAAAUAAAUCUAGCUUACCAGCAUCAAACGUGACUCAAUACUUGCGAGUAUGCUGAUAAAUCCUGGCUCGAGCUUGUCGUUGAACAUCUGACGGUGUGGUGCGGCUUCACUUUCUUCUCCAUACCUUCCGGUGAUUUCUCUCAAACCAGCGACGAUCGACGAGGAUUGCGAACAUGACGAGAGGGUGAAAACUAUCUAUCACAAUAACUCUCUCUACCCCGCAAACAGCAUCUAAAACAGCCAUAUGAAGUAGUGUUGAGAUCUUCCGCCCCCAUGACCUAGAUGGGGCUGACCAAGAGGAGGCGAAACACGACGAGACGCGUAUCGGAAGAGUUACUGGGAUUAAAGAUGACGACACACAUCAAGGCGAGGCGACAUAUGGUGGUGAAAAAAUAGGAAUGAAUGACGACGAGAGACAGCACAGUUGCGUGGGACUUGGCGAUAACGGCGAGCUGGACCAUUGGUCAGCUCAACAGACACGACCAAUAAAAUUUACGAGCACACGCGAGCGAGCAGUUGAGUGACGGUGGCGAAGCUUGCUGGUUUAACACGGAAAGGAUCAACAAAGUCGACAGCCAAUCGGUGAACCAAAGAUUGGGAGUGACAGCCGAUGAAGAGCUUAUCUUUAAAGAGCCACGCGAGUGAAACUGAAAAUUAAUCCGACAGUGGUUCAGCGGCAACUGAUGGCCGGUAGAAGAACGUGGCUGCCCAGAGGAGCUGCAGGGAGGAACGGCGUGCUUAUCUACUGAAAGGAAAGGACCUCGGCUGGGAGAGGGAACUGGCUACCGGGCUUGCUUGAUACAAGAAGCCGAGGGCGAGCUCGGCAGGACGCAGAGAGGAGCGCUGUCGAGCAGAGAAAAUUAGCGCGCGCGGCAAUGG